Molecule: ribosomal RNA, 483 nt
Filed under: uncultured bacterium
Lineage: Bacteria
Description: bacterial SSU rRNA
Rfam family: Bacterial small subunit ribosomal RNA
Source: RNAcentral
AUUGAACGCUGGCGGCAUGCCUUACACAUGCAAGUCGAACGGUAACAGGUCUUCGGAUGCUGACGAGUGGCGAACGGGUGAGUAAUACAUCGGAACGUGCCCGAUCGUGGGGGAUAACGCAGCGAAAGCUGUGCUAAUACCGCAUACGAUCUACGGAUGAAAGCGGGGGAUCGCAAGACCUCGCGCGGACGGAGCGGCCGAUGGCAGAUUAGGUAGUUGGUGGGAUAAAAGCUUACCAAGCCGACGAUCUGUAGCUGGUCUGAGAGGACGACCAGCCACACUGGGACUGAGACACGGCCCAGACUCCUACGGGAGGCAGCAGUGGGGAAUUUUGGACAAUGGGCGCAAGCCUGAUCCAGCCAUGCCGCGUGCAGGAUGAAGGCCUUCGGGUUGUAAACUGCUUUUGUACGGAACGAAAAAAGCUCUCUCUAAUACAGGGGGUGAAUGACGGUACCGUAAGAAUAAGCACCGGCUAACUACGUG